This 504-nucleotide ribosomal RNA is filed under the name uncultured bacterium. Its description in RNAcentral is "partial 16S ribosomal RNA". It matches the Rfam family "Bacterial small subunit ribosomal RNA", at positions 30 to 523 of the family's 1533-position model. The record is from RNAcentral.
AUUGAACGCUGGCGGCAUGCCUUACACAUGCAAGUCGAACGGCAGCAUGGAGAGCUUGCUCUCUGAUGGCGAGUGGCGAACGGGUGAGUAAUGCAUCGGAACGUACCGUGUAAUGGGGGAUAACGUAGCGAAAGUUACGCUAACACCGCAUACGACCUGAGGGUGAAAGCAGGGGAUCGCAAGACCUUGCGUUAUACGAGCGGCCGAUGUCGGAUUAGGUAGUUGGUGAGGUAAAGGCUCACCAAGGCGACGAUCUGUAGCGGGUCUGAGAGGAUGAUCCGCCACACUGGGACUGAGACACGGCCCAGACUCCUACGGGAGGCAGCAGUGGGGAAUUUUGGACAAUGGGGGCAACCCUGAUCCAGCCAUGCCGCGUGAGUGAAGAAGGCCUUCGGGUUGUAAAGCUCUUUCGGCCGGGAAGAAAUCGCACAGGCUAAUACUCUGUGUGGAUGACGGUACCGGCAUAAGAAGCACCGGCUAACUACGUGCCAGCCGCCGCAGUAA